RNAcentral lists this long non-coding RNA (1267 nucleotides) under Calidris pygmaea (Spoon-billed sandpiper). Its description in RNAcentral is "lncRNA (ENSCPGG00000014619.1)". The record is from RNAcentral. Lineage: Eukaryota; Metazoa; Chordata; Aves; Charadriiformes; Scolopacidae.
CUCAAGGAUUUUGUCCUUUCCUCUUCUCUCAUCGUGAGCCACCUUCUCCUUAUGAGAAAGUGUCUCAAGAUGGGGCCUUAAGGGAAGAAAUGCUCUGUAGGAUCUUUACAAAGCUUUUGCCAGGCUCCUUUAGGUGAGAGUAGGGUUUCAGCCAUCCAUCCCAAAAUGAGCAGCUGUCACCUCUGUGCACUGAAAAUGCCUAAAAUCUGUACCCAUUGUCAGUGGAGGACUCUGUAUGCAGAUGUAUGUGGGGAAGCCAGGUUGGGGUGUGUCUGCUGUAAUGGGUGAUGUUCCCUUCUGGUGUUUUAGCUGUGCUGAACUGGGCCUGUUUGGUGUGGGGGUUGAUUUUAUCGCAUCUUUCAAUGGCAGCUGAAGCCAUUGUGAUCAAAACCGAAAUUAGAGCCAUGUUGUGACAUUUGGAAAGGAUAUAGUGAAAACUCUUUAAAUGUUAUUGGGUCACUGAGAAAGGAUGGGGUUGGUGUUGGCACAGACGCAGCACUUAAGGAGCCUGGGUGUUUCUAAAUAGGUUUCUGCCCUCUUUUUUUUCCUUUUUACAAAUGGUGUUUGACCCCAGUAUUGCGGAGCCAGCUGGGAAACACAGAUGAAGGAGAGCUAUAAAGAUCUCUUUCCAACAGCCCUGUUUUAGGAACCCACCCACUCAGGGCAGAAGUUUGAGAGAAAAUUGAGUUUUGCUGAAGAGCGUCACCCAAAUGGGCACAAAGCCAGGCCAAUGCCCACUGGUCUGAAAGAGAGAGAGUUCUGUUAUAUAAAACUGCUAUUCAAGGGCCCUAUGGAUCCACACAACGUCCAUGAAGGCGAGGUUUAUUUUCACCCUGGAGUGCAGUCACACUCCCACUUCAAGUCUGCCAGGAUCAGCAGCAAUCCUUGUGGAAGUGACCCAACUGUGCAGACAGCCCCAUAAAGAUGAAAAGAAGCUUCAGGAAUAAAAAAAGAGUCAGAAAAGGAUGCAGUCCCCACCUCACUGGGGUGGCCAACUGGUUGCAUAGGACCACAUCAUGUGAAAGGGUGUUUUCAGUAGGGAGACCAAAGCCUGGAGUAUUUUCUGCAGCUCUGAUUGCUGGUGUUGAAGAUGCAGUUCAGUGGAUGCAGGUGCAGAUGGGAUCACAAGGACAGGCAGAGGGAUGGGGACAUUGCCAUUGAGGAGAAGAAAUGAAGGCCUUUUCAUCAAGGAGGUAUGCUUGUUCUCUAGCAAUUAUGCUAGAAGGUGGGGAAAUAAACACGGGGAAAGAAAGAUGGUUUUAAGAUG